Molecule: long non-coding RNA, 744 nt
Filed under: Anas platyrhynchos platyrhynchos (common mallard)
Lineage: Eukaryota; Metazoa; Chordata; Aves; Anseriformes; Anatidae
Description: lncRNA (ENSAPLG00000026855.1)
Source: RNAcentral
AUUCUUCCCAACAACUGCCUUGCAAGAGUUUUUUAAAUCCAAAAUUGCUUAUCUCCCUCAGAUUCUUAUUUUCUACUCUCUGCAAGAGUGUCACUAGGGAAUCUCUUUUACUGCUAAUUUUAUGUGAUAAGAGGAAGCUGAAAGUUAUCUUGGCCUAGAUGCAUGCCUAUGCCUUAGAGACACAGUCUCUAUCAUUACCAUCUGAGUCAUUGUCAGUAAUUAUCCAUUUCAUCAGCAUAGAUCUGUUCUGUUACUUUAUGGAUUUUUAUUUUUUUUUAAACUUUGUUUAUGACAAGAGCUUUGUCUGUUUCUUUCCAGAUGUCCUUCUGCUAUUAACAAGAUGUUACUUAAAACUUCUUUCUUAUCUGUCAAUUGUUGACCUCUCUCAAGCAACAUUUAUUUACUACAUGCUAGUUUUGUAUGGGCUUUUUGUCAGUAUGAAGUACAGCAUAAAAAGUUCCAAGCAUCUCCAUAAAGAAGACUGCAGCGUGGAGUUGACAGAAUCUUGCUGGCUUUGGUCCAGACAAAACAGCAGACAAAACACAGAUGAACAAAUGCAGCUCAAGAUCACUUCAUCUGUUUCUUGGAAGUUUAACAUUUACUUGGAUAACUUUACACUAUAAUGGAAGCUAUGCUGUGUGCCUACCCUGAAGGAAGUCUAAGAAAAUGCAUUGUUUGCAUAUGGUCUGCAAUGGAGAUAGAAUUUCUGUUCCAAAUAAACAACUUCAGACCAUUAGGAUGUCA